This 1475-nucleotide ribosomal RNA is filed under the name uncultured Bordetella sp. RNAcentral describes it as "partial 16S-23S ribosomal RNA intergenic spacer". It matches the Rfam family "Bacterial small subunit ribosomal RNA". Lineage: Bacteria; Pseudomonadati; Pseudomonadota; Betaproteobacteria; Burkholderiales; Alcaligenaceae. The record is from RNAcentral.
GUUCGAUUCUGGCUCAGAUUGAGCGCUGGCGGGAUGCUACGGCAUGCAAGUCAGACGGCGGCACGGACUUCGGUCUGGUGGCGAGUGGCGAACGGGUGAGUAAUGUAUCGGAACGUGCCUGAAGUAGCGGGGAUAACUACGCGAAAGCGUAACUAAUACCACAUACGCCGGGGGGGAAAGCAGGGGACCUUCGGGCCUCGCACUAUUAGAGCAGCCGAUAUCGGAUUAGCUAGUUGGUGGGGUAACGGCUCACCAAGGCGACGUCCGUAGCUGGUUUGAGGACGACCAGCCACGCUGGGACUGGGUACAGCCCAGACUCCUACGGGAGGCAACGGUGGGGAAUUUACGGACAAUGGAAACCCUGAUCCAGCCAUCCGCGUGUGCGAUGAAGACCUUCGGGUUGUAAAGCACUUUUGGCAGGAAAGAAACGGCACGGGAUAAUACCCCGUGCAACUGACGGCCCGCCUGCAGAAUAAGCACCGGCUAACUACGUGCCAGCAGCCGCGGUAAUACGUAGGGUGCAAGCGUUAAUCCGGAAUUACUGGGCGUAAAGCGUGCGCGAGCCGGUUCGGAAAGAAGAUGUCGUGAAAUCCCAGAGCUUAACUUUGGAGCAUUUUUUUAACUACCGAGCUAGAGUGUGUCAGAGGGAAAUUGGAGGUGCUCCGCGAUGGCAGUGAAAUGCGUAGAUAUGCGGAGGAACACCGAUGGCGAAGGCAGCCUCCUGGGAUAACACUGACGCUCAUGCACGAAAGCGUGGGAGCAAACAGGAUUAGAUGCCCUGGUAGUCCACGCCCUAAACGAUGUCAACUGGCUAUUUGGGGCCUUCGGGCCUUGGUAGCGCAGCUAACGCGUGAAGUUGACCGCCUGGGGAGUACGGUCGCAAGAUUAAAACUCAAAGGAAUUGGGCGGGGACCCGCACAAGCGGUGGAUGAUGUGGAUUAAUUCGAUGCAACGCGAAAAACCUUACCUACCCUUGACAUGUCUGGAAUCCCGAAGAAGAGAUUUAGGGAGUGCUCGCAAGAGAACCGGAACACAGGUGCUGCAUGGCUGUCGUCAGCUCGUGUCGUGAGAUGUGGGUUAGAACCGCAACGAGCGCAACCCUUGUCAUUAGUUGCUACGAAAGGGCACUCUAAUGAGACUGCCGGUGACAAACCGGAGGAAUGGGGAUGACGUCAAGUCUCUGGCCCUUAUGGGUAGGGCUUCCGUCAUACAAUGGUCGGGACAGAGGGUCGCCAACCCGCGAGGGGGAGCCAAUCCCAGAAACCCGAUCGUAGUCCGGAUCCUGCAGUCUGCAACUCGACUGCGUGAAGUCGGAAUCGCUAGUAAUCGCGGAUCAGCAUGUCGCGGUGAAUACGUUCCCGGGUCUUUAACACAACGCGUCACACCAUGGAGUGGGUUUUACCAGAAAAUCGAUUCGCUAACCGUAAGAGGCGAUUACCACGGUAGGAUUCAUGACUGGGGUGGUAACAAGGUAA